This 72-nucleotide transfer RNA is filed under the name Ovis aries (sheep). It matches the Rfam family "tRNA". Rfam says of the family: Transfer RNA (tRNA) molecules are approximately 80 nucleotides in length. Their secondary structure includes four short double-helical elements and three loops (D, anti-codon, and T loops). Lineage: Eukaryota; Metazoa; Chordata; Mammalia; Artiodactyla; Bovidae. The record is from Rfam by way of RNAcentral.
UCCCUCUUGGCUCAGAUGGUAAAGAAUUUGCCUGCAAUGCAGGAGACCCAGGUUCAAUCCCUGGAUCAGGAA